AGAGUUUGAUCCUGGCUCAGAACAAACGCUGGCGGCGUGCCUAACACAUGCAAGUCGUACGAGAAAGUCCGCUUCGGUGGAUGAGUAAAGUGGCGCACGGGUGAGUAACGCGUGGAUAAUCUACCCUUUAGUCUGGAAUAACUUAUCGAAAGGUGAACUAAUACCGGAUAAUAUCCCGAUUUCUUCGGCGAUCGGGAUCAAAGAAGGCCUCUGCUUGCAAGCUUUCACUGAAGGAUGAGUCCGCGUACCAUUAGCUAGUUGGCAGGGUAAUGGCCUACCAAGGUUAUGAUGGUUAGCUGGUCUGAGAGGAUGAUCAGCCACACUGGAACUGAAACACGGUCCAGACUCCUACGGGAGGCAGCAGUGAGGAAUAUUGCGCAAUGGGGGCAACCCUGACGCAGCAACGCCGCGUGAGUGAGGAAGGUUUUCGGAUUGUAAAGCUCUGUCGAGCGGAAAGAAGUGCAUGGUGGUUAAUAUCCAUCAUGCUUGACGGUACCGCUAAAGGAAGCACCGGCUAACUCCGUGCCAGCAGCCGCGGUAAUACGGGGGGUGCAAGCGUUGUUCGGAAUCAUUGGGCGUAAAGCGCGUGUAGGCGGCUGGACAAGUCAGAUGUGAAAGCCCUGGGCUUAACCCAGGAAGUGCAUUUGAAACUGUUCAGCUAGAGUAAGGGGAGAGGAAAGUGGAAUUCCUGGUGUAGAGGUGAAAUUCGUAGAUAUCAGGAGGAACACCGGUGGCGGAAGGCGACUUUCUGGCCCUAUACUGACGCUGAGACGCGAAAGCGUGGGUAGCAAACAAGGAUUAGAUACCCUGGUAUUCCACGCUGUAAACGAUGUUCACUAGGUGUUGGGGGUAUUGACCCUUCCAGUGCCGCAGCUACGCAUUAGUGAACCGCCUGGGGGAGUACGGUCGCAGAUUAGAACUCAAUGAAUUGACG
This 934-nucleotide ribosomal RNA is filed under the name methanogenic prokaryote enrichment culture B19_53. RNAcentral's name for it is "bacterial SSU rRNA". It matches the Rfam family "Bacterial small subunit ribosomal RNA", at positions 8 to 915 of the family's 1533-position model. The record is from RNAcentral.